ACCGGCGCACGGGUGCGUAACGCGUAUGCAAUCUACCUUUUACAGAGGGAUAGCCCAGAGAAAUUUGGAUUAAUACCUCAUAGUAUARCAGUUUGGCAUGAAACCACUAUUAAAGUCACAACGGUAAAAGAUGAGCAUGCGUCCCAUUAGCUAGUUGGUAAGGUAACGGCUUACCAAGGCUACGAUGGGUAGGGGUCCUGAGAGGGAGAUCCCCCACACUGGUACUGAGACACGGACCAGACUCCUACGGGAGGCAGCAGUGAGGAAUAUUGGACAAUGGGCGCAAGCCUGAUCCAGCCAUGCCGCGUGCAGGAUGACGGUCCUAUGGAUUGUAAACUGCUUUUGUACGAGAAGAAACACUCCUAUGUAUAGGAGCUUGACGGUAUCGUAAGAAUAAGGAUCGGCUAACUCCGUGCCAGCAGCCGCGGUAAUACGGAGGAUCCAAGCGUUAUCCGGAAUCAUUGGGUUUAAAGGGUCCGUAGGCGGUUUAAUAAGUCAGUGGUGAAAGCCCAUCGCUCAACGGUGGAACGGCCAUUGAUACUGUUAAACUUGAAUUAUUAGGAAGUAACUAGAAUAUGUAGUGUAGCGGUGAAAUGCUUAGAGAUUACAUGGAAUACCAAUUGCGAAGGCAGGUUACUACUAAUUGAUUGACGCUGAUGGACGAAAGCGUGGGUAGCGAACAGGAUUAGAUACCCUGGUAGUCCACGCCGUAAACGAUGGAUACUAGCUGUUGGGAGCAAUCUCAGUGGCUAAGCGAAAGUGAUAAGUAUCCCACCUGGGGAGUACGUUCGCAAGAAUGAAACUCAAAGGAAUUGACGGGGGCCCGCACAAGCGGUGGAGCAUGUGGUUUAAUUCGAUGAUACGCGAGGAACCUUACCAAGGCUUAAAUGUAGAUUGACCGGUUUGGAAACAGAUCUUUCGCAAGACAAUUUACAAGGUGCUGCAUGGUUGUCGUCAGCUCGUGCCGUGAGGUGUCAGGUUAAGUCCUAUAACGAGCGCAACCCCUGUUGUUAGUUGCCAGCGAGUCAUGUCGGGAACUCUAACAAGACUGCCAGUGCAAACUGUGAGGAAGGUGGGGAUGACGUCAAAUCAUCACGGCCCUUACGCCUUGGGCUACACACGUGCUACAAUGGCCGGUACAGAGAGCAGCCACUGGGCGACCAGGAGCGAAUCUAUAAAACCGGUCACAGUUCGGAUCGGAGUCUG
This 1206-nucleotide ribosomal RNA is filed under the name Flavobacterium sp. ICM 208. RNAcentral describes it as "bacterial SSU rRNA". It matches the Rfam family "Bacterial small subunit ribosomal RNA", at positions 94 to 1307 of the family's 1533-position model. Lineage: Bacteria; Pseudomonadati; Bacteroidota; Flavobacteriia; Flavobacteriales; Flavobacteriaceae. The record is from RNAcentral.